This 78-nucleotide transfer RNA is filed under the name Apaloderma vittatum (bar-tailed trogon). It matches the Rfam family "tRNA". Rfam says of the family: Transfer RNA (tRNA) molecules are approximately 80 nucleotides in length. Their secondary structure includes four short double-helical elements and three loops (D, anti-codon, and T loops). The record is from Rfam by way of RNAcentral. Lineage: Eukaryota; Metazoa; Chordata; Aves; Trogoniformes; Trogonidae.
GGCCGGUUAGCUCAGUGGUUUGAGCAUGGUGCUGACAACAACAAAACCAAGGUUGAGGGUUCGAUUCCCGCUCGGUCC